UCAGAUAAAGCCAAACCCAUUGGAAAAUGGGGACGGAAAGCCACGGGUCCCGAGUCGUUGCGGAUAGCCGGGUUGCCGAGC
Molecule: regulatory RNA element, 81 nt
Organism: Desulfococcus multivorans DSM 2059
Lineage: Bacteria; Pseudomonadati; Thermodesulfobacteriota; Desulfobacteria; Desulfobacterales; Desulfococcaceae
Rfam family: c-di-GMP-I-GGC riboswitch aptamer
Source: Rfam